Molecule: non-coding RNA, 181 nt
Rfam family: 6S / SsrS RNA
About the family: E. coli 6S RNA was the first non coding RNA to be sequenced, but its function was unknown until recently. It consists of 184 nucleotides that fold into an extended hairpin structure with a large single-stranded internal bulge. The 6S RNA specifically associates with RNA polymerase holoenzyme containing the sigma70 specificity factor.
Source: Rfam
AUUAUCCUGCAUUGUACGUGACUCAUUCUUGUUUAAAACCGUACUAUUUUUUCGGGAUUCCAAUAUGAAUUGACUGAUGCCAUGCCUGUAUUUCAGGAUCGCAGACAGGUCAAACUGCGGAAACCCACCUGCGAGAGCGGGUUUAUAAAACAAUUUGGGAUAAGGCAUAGGUGGGACUCAA